This 638-nucleotide ribosomal RNA is filed under the name uncultured bacterium. RNAcentral's name for it is "bacterial SSU rRNA". It matches the Rfam family "Bacterial small subunit ribosomal RNA", at positions 169 to 803 of the family's 1533-position model. The record is from RNAcentral.
CAGGAUGGGAUCAUGAGUUCACAUGUCCGCAUGAUUAAAGGUAUUUUCCGGUAGACGAUGGGGAUGCGUUCCAUUAGAUAGUAGGCGGGGUAACGGCCCACCUAGUCAACGAUGGAUAGGGGUUCUGAGAGGAAGGUCCCCCACAUUGGAACUGAGACACGGUCCAAACUCCUACGGGAGGCAGCAGUGAGGAAUAUUGGUCAAUGGGCGAUGGCCUGAACCAGCCAAGUAGCGUGAAGGAUGACUGCCCUAUGGGUUGUAAACUUCUUUUAUAAAGGAAUAAAGUCGGGUAUGCAUACCCGUUUGCAUGUACUUUAUGAAUAAGGAUCGGCUAACUCCGUGCCAGCAGCCGCGGUAAUACGGAGGAUCCGAGCGUUAUCCGGAUUUAUUGGGUUUAAAGGGAGCGUAGAUGGAUGUUUAAGUCAGUUGUGAAAGUUUGCGGCUCAACCGUAAAAUUGCAGUUGAUACUGGAUGUCUUGAGUGCAGUUGAGGCAGGCGGAAUUCGUGGUGUGGCGGUGAAAUGCUUAGAUAUCACGAAGAACUCCGAUUGCGAAGGCAGCCUGCUAAGCUGCAACUGACAUUGAGGCUCGAAAGUGUGGGUAUCAAACAGGAUUAGAUACCCUGGUAGUCCACACGGU